RNAcentral lists this ribosomal RNA (301 nucleotides) under uncultured bacterium. RNAcentral describes it as "partial 16S ribosomal RNA". It matches the Rfam family "Bacterial small subunit ribosomal RNA", at positions 509 to 807 of the family's 1533-position model. The record is from RNAcentral.
CAGCAGCCGCGGGAAAACGGAGGGUGCAAGCGCUAAUCGGAAUUACUGGGCGUAAAGCGCACGCAGGCGGUCUGACAAGUCAGAUGUGAAAUCCCCGGGCUUAACCUGGGAACUGCAUUUGAAACUGUCAGGCUGGAGUCUUGUAGAGGGGGGUAGAAUUCCAGGUGUAGCGGUGAAAUGCGUAGAGAUCUGGAGGAAUACCGGUGGCGAAGGCGGCCCCCUGGACAAAGACUGACGCUCAGGUGCGAAAGCGUGGGGAGCAAACAGGAUUAGAUACCCCAGUAGUCCCUGUCUCUUAUAC